This 69-nucleotide transfer RNA is filed under the name Elizabethkingia miricola. RNAcentral's name for it is "tRNA-Phe (AAA) (tRNA-Phe-AAA-1-1)". It matches the Rfam family "tRNA". Rfam says of the family: Transfer RNA (tRNA) molecules are approximately 80 nucleotides in length. Lineage: Bacteria; Pseudomonadati; Bacteroidota; Flavobacteriia; Flavobacteriales; Weeksellaceae. The record is from RNAcentral.
GAGACUGUAGCUCAGAGGAUAGAGCCACGUAAAAGCCGUUGGUCGCCGGUUCGAAUCCGGCCAGUCUCU